The sequence is a regulatory RNA element, 153 nucleotides long. It matches the Rfam family "Ribosomal protein L10 leader". Rfam says of the family: This family is a putative r-protein leader autoregulatory structure found in B. subtilis and other low-GC Gram-positive bacteria. The record is from Rfam.
ACUUGUAUUAAAAUAUUACCUAAGACAGCAGGAGUGGCGGUCCGCCGCUGCUUAAAACCAUAUCCUGCCGAGGCAAAUGAAAAUGACUUGAAUUGACCAAUAGAUAUUCAAGCACUUUUUGCCGUGGGUAAAAGGUGCUUUUUUUAUUGCACC